RNAcentral lists this long non-coding RNA (563 nucleotides) under Androctonus crassicauda. The record is from RNAcentral. Lineage: Eukaryota; Metazoa; Arthropoda; Arachnida; Scorpiones; Buthidae.
AAAAUAUAACAAAUAUAAAUGAUAAAAAAAAAGGUUUCGCGGGACGAACCGCGGAUCUCACACAUAUACCUUAGAGAGAAUUUGCCAAAACUAAAUCAUUAAUACUAAAUCCAUUUGACAAUUAUUCGUAUGCUAACAUUAAAUGUCUCUCUUGUUCACAAAUGUCCUUUGUAAAGUUUAACAUAUUCGUUGCUGAUGUCCGUCGUUGUCAUCUAUCUUAUAUGUCAGCCAUCGUCAUCAUCCAUCAUCUGUCACCUGUUGUCUCCAUUGGGCUUGCCACCUCAAUGGGACGAGUUGUUUCCAAUGUUGUUGCGCUUACAUUUUUGUUGUUUUUCUCAGACACUAACAAAUUAUUAACUUUUUCUUCUUUGACUGUUGACUACCCUCUUUUGACUCUGACUUUCUACUGGCUGACUAAUCUUUUCAUAUUUAUUUGAUGUCUUCAAAGGGAACUUUCCCAGGGUAUUUCUAGAUGAAAAUAACUUGUAGUUCCUCAUCAGUUAUGACUAAUCUUUUCAUAUUUAUUUGAUGUCUUCAAAGGGAACUUUCCCAGGGUAUUUCUA